Molecule: ribosomal RNA, 563 nt
Filed under: Criconema sphagni
Lineage: Eukaryota; Metazoa; Nematoda; Chromadorea; Rhabditida; Criconematidae
Description: partial 18S ribosomal RNA
Rfam family: Eukaryotic small subunit ribosomal RNA (bases 308-563)
Source: RNAcentral
GUUUAUAUAGAUAAAAGACACAAUAAUACCGACGCCCGCCCCCAAAAAGAAUCCAGACCCCCCACCCGCGUCGUUUUGUUCUUAUAUUACACAGCACCACCCGGGCGGCGCGCUUACAAUCUUAUAAUCUGGAUAAACAAUCGUCCACCCAAAAUUUUUUUUAGGAUACCUCCCCCUAAAAAGCGCGGGAAGGAAAUAGCCGUUUGGGAUUUGCCCGGGGGGGUUUGGACCGUCGCCGUAAACGAUGCCACGCGAUCCCGGCGCUUUUGGCCUGGUGGGAGCUCCGGAAACGAAAGUCUCCGGUUCGGGGGAAGUAGGUUGCAAAGCUUGAAACUUAAAGGAAUUAGGAAAGGCCCCCAGAUGAGCUGCGGCUUAUUUGACUCAACACGGGGAAAACUCACCCGGCCCGGACACCGUGAGUUGACAGAUUGAUAGCUUUUUUCAUGAUUCGGUGGUGUGGUGCAUGGCCCGUUCUUAGUUCGUGGGAUCGAUUUGUCUGGUUAUUCCCGAUAACGAGCGAGACUCCAGCCCUACUAACUAGUGCGGGCAUUGCUUUCUGUGUU